Molecule: ribosomal RNA, 488 nt
Filed under: uncultured bacterium
Lineage: Bacteria
Description: bacterial SSU rRNA
Rfam family: Bacterial small subunit ribosomal RNA
Source: RNAcentral
AGUUUGAUUCUGGCUCAGGACGAACGCUGGCGGCGUGCUUCAUACAUGCAAGUCGAACGAGAAACUAACUUCGGUUAGUGGAAAGUGGCGGACGGGUGAGUAAUGUGUAGAGAAUCUGCCCUAGAGUGGGGGACAACAGUUGGAAACGACUGCUAAUACCGCAUAUGCGCGUAGCUGAGAUGCUAUUCGUGAAAACUCCGGUGCUCUGGGAUGAGUCUGCAUCUGAUUAGCUAGUUGGGGGUGUAAUGGACCACCAAGGCGACGAUCAGUAGCUGGUUUGAGAGGAUGAUCAGCCACAAUGGGACUGAGACACGGCCCAUACUCCUACGGGAGGCAGCAGUAGGGAAUUUUGCGCAAUGGGGGAAACCCUGACGCAAGCAACGCCGCGUGAUUGAAUAAGCCCUUCGGGGUGUAAAGAUCUGUCAGUGGGGACGAAACUUGACGGUACCCACAGAGGAAGCAUCGGCUAACUCCGUGCCAGCAGCAGC